RNAcentral lists this transfer RNA (72 nucleotides) under Capra hircus (goat). It matches the Rfam family "tRNA". Rfam says of the family: Transfer RNA (tRNA) molecules are approximately 80 nucleotides in length. Lineage: Eukaryota; Metazoa; Chordata; Mammalia; Artiodactyla; Bovidae. The record is from Rfam by way of RNAcentral. RNAcentral also lists the same sequence under 1 other name.
UUCCUGGUGGCUCAGUGGUAAAAGAAUCUGCCUGCAAUGCAGGAGACCUGGGUUCGAUUCCUGGGUUGGGAA